Camelus ferus (Wild Bactrian camel) is the source of this 72-nucleotide transfer RNA. It matches the Rfam family "tRNA". Rfam says of the family: Transfer RNA (tRNA) molecules are approximately 80 nucleotides in length. Their secondary structure includes four short double-helical elements and three loops (D, anti-codon, and T loops). Further hydrogen bonds mediate the characteristic L-shaped molecular structure. tRNAs have two regions of fundamental functional importance: the anti-codon, which is responsible for specific mRNA codon recognition, and the 3' end, to which the tRNAs corresponding amino acid is attached (by aminoacyl-tRNA synthetases). tRNAs cope with the degeneracy of the genetic code in two manners: having more than one tRNA (with a specific anti-codon) for a particular amino acid; and 'wobble' base-pairing, i.e. permitting non-standard base-pairing at the 3rd anti-codon position. The record is from Rfam. NCBI's taxonomy places the organism in Eukaryota, Metazoa, Chordata, Mammalia, Artiodactyla, Camelidae.
GAGGGUAAAGCUCAGGGGUAGAGCAUGUGCCUAGCAUGCAGGAGGCCCUGGGUUCAAUCCCUAGUACCUCCA